RNAcentral lists this ribosomal RNA (253 nucleotides) under uncultured bacterium. RNAcentral's name for it is "partial 16S ribosomal RNA". It matches the Rfam family "Bacterial small subunit ribosomal RNA", at positions 524 to 776 of the family's 1533-position model. The record is from RNAcentral.
UACGUAGGGGGCAAGCGUUGUCCGGAAUCAUUGGGCGUAAAGAGCGUGUAGGCGGCUCGGUAAGUCCGCUGUGAAAGUCCAGGGCUCAACCCUGGAAUGCCGGUGGAAACUGUCAAGCUUGAGUCCGGAAGAGGCGAGUGGAAUUCCUGGUGUAGCGGUGAAAUGCGCAGAUAUCAGGAGGAACACCAAUGGCGAAGGCAGCUCGCUGGGACGGUACUGACGCUGAGACGCGAAAGCGUGGGGAGCAAACAGG